CGGACGGGUGAGUAAUGUCUGGGAAACUGCCUGAUGGAGGGGGAUAACUACUGGAAACGGUAGCUAAUACCGCAUAACGUCGCAAGACCAAAGAGGGGACCUUGGGCCUCUUGCCAUCGGAUGUGCCCAGAUGGGAUUAGCUAGUAGGUGGGGUAAAGGCUCACCUAGGCGACGAUCCCUAGCUGGUCUGAGAGGAUGACCAGCCACACUGGAACUGAGACACGGUCCAG
RNAcentral lists this ribosomal RNA (230 nucleotides) under uncultured bacterium. Its description in RNAcentral is "partial 16S ribosomal RNA". It matches the Rfam family "Bacterial small subunit ribosomal RNA", at positions 99 to 334 of the family's 1533-position model. The record is from RNAcentral.